AGUGAACGCUGGCGGUAGGCCUAACACAUGCAAGUCGAACGGCAGCACAGUAAGAGCUUGCUCUUACGGGUGGCGAGUGGCGGACGGGUGAGGAAUACAUCGGAAUCUACUUUUUCGUGGGGGAUAACGUAGGGAAACUUACGCUAAUACCGCAUACGACCUACGGGUGAAAGCAGGGGAUCUUCGGACCUUGCGCGAGUGAAUGAGCCGAUGUCGGAUUAGCUAGUUGGCGGGGUAAAGGCCCACCCAGGCGACGAUCCGUAGCUGGUCUGAGAGGAUGAUCAGCCACACUGGAACUGAGACACGGUGCAGACUCCUACGGGAGGCAGCAGUGGGGAAUAUUGGACCAUGGGCGCAAGCCUGAUCCAGCCAUACCGCGUGGGUGAAGAAGGCCUUCGGGUUGUAAAGCCCUUUUGUUGGGAAAGAAAAGCAGCAGGUUAAUACCCCGCUGUUCUGACGGUACCCAAAGAAUAAGCACCGGCUAACUUCGUG
Molecule: ribosomal RNA, 492 nt
Filed under: uncultured bacterium
Lineage: Bacteria
Description: partial 16S ribosomal RNA
Rfam family: Bacterial small subunit ribosomal RNA
Source: RNAcentral